This 481-nucleotide ribosomal RNA is filed under the name uncultured bacterium. RNAcentral describes it as "partial 16S ribosomal RNA". It matches the Rfam family "Bacterial small subunit ribosomal RNA", at positions 28 to 507 of the family's 1533-position model. The record is from RNAcentral.
GAUGAACGCUGGCGGCGUGCCUAACACAUGCAAGUCGAGCGAAGCGCUUAAAUUAGCUUUCUUCGGAAUGACGAUUUUUGUGACUGAGCGGCGGACGGGGGAGUAACGCGUGGGUAACCUGCCUCAUACAGGGGGAUAACAGUUAGAAAUGACUGCUAAUACCGCAUAAGACCCCAGCUUCGCAUGAAGCGGUGGUAAAAACUCCGGUGGUAUGAGAUGGACCCGCGUCUGAUUAGCUAGUUGGUAAGGUAACGGCUUACCAAGGCGACGAUCAGUAGCCGACCUGAGAGGGUGACCGGCCACAUUGGGACUGAGACACGGCCCAGACUCCUACGGGAGGCAGCAGUGGGGAAUAUUGCACAAUGGGGGAAACCCUGAUGCAGCGACGCCGCGUGAAGGAUGAAGUAUUUCGGUAUGUAAACUUCUAUCAGCAGGGAAGAAAGUGACGGUACCUGACUAAGAAGCCCCGGCUAACUACGUG